RNAcentral lists this ribosomal RNA (91 nucleotides) under Astragalus annularis. RNAcentral's name for it is "partial 26S ribosomal RNA". It matches the Rfam family "Eukaryotic large subunit ribosomal RNA", at positions 1 to 89 of the family's 3401-position model. RNAcentral also lists the same sequence under 5 other names. The record is from RNAcentral. Lineage: Eukaryota; Viridiplantae; Streptophyta; Magnoliopsida; Fabales; Fabaceae.
CGAGACCUCAGGUCAGGCGGGGCUACCCGCUGAGUUUAAGCAUAUCAAUAAGCGGAGGAAAAGAAACUAACAAGGAUUCCCUUAGUAACGG